GGCCCUAAAAUUUAAAUGAUAAGAAUAGAGAUUAAAUGUAACAUGAUUUUCUAUGAAUAGGUCAAUUAUGUCCAUUUUUAGAAAAAUCACACAUGAAUCAAUGUCGUGACUUCUGUUUUAAUAUAUAAGAUGUUUAUCUCUUCUCAACAAUACAAUGAUUUUAAAAAACUGAGUGGCUAGUAGUAGCGUCUAGGAUGUUAAUAAGAACGUAAGCAACAUGUACGCGUCAUACGCAAUAUGU
RNAcentral lists this long non-coding RNA (241 nucleotides) under Brassica napus (rape). RNAcentral describes it as "long non-coding RNA (BNAP_LNC023617)". Lineage: Eukaryota; Viridiplantae; Streptophyta; Magnoliopsida; Brassicales; Brassicaceae. The record is from RNAcentral.